This 73-nucleotide transfer RNA is filed under the name Bos taurus (domestic cattle). It matches the Rfam family "tRNA". Rfam says of the family: Transfer RNA (tRNA) molecules are approximately 80 nucleotides in length. Lineage: Eukaryota; Metazoa; Chordata; Mammalia; Artiodactyla; Bovidae. RNAcentral also lists the same sequence under 1 other name. The record is from Rfam by way of RNAcentral.
UCCCUGGUGGUCCAGUGGCUAAGACUCUGUGCUCCCAAGGCAGGCAGUCCAGGUUCAAUCCCUGAUCAGGGAA